This 477-nucleotide ribosomal RNA is filed under the name uncultured organism. Its description in RNAcentral is "partial 16S ribosomal RNA". It matches the Rfam family "Bacterial small subunit ribosomal RNA", at positions 331 to 799 of the family's 1533-position model. The record is from RNAcentral.
GUACACUCCUGCGGGAGGCAGCAGUGGGGAAUUUUGGACAAUGGGCGAAAGCCUGAUCCAGCCAUGCCGCGUGCAGGAUGAAGGCCUUCGGGUUGUAAACUGCUUUUGUACGGAACGAAACGGCCUUUUCUAAUAAAGAGGGCUAAUGACGGUACCGUAAGAAUAAGCACCGGCUAACUACGUGCCAGCAGCCGCGGUAAUACGUAGGGUGCAAGCGUUAAUCGGAAUUACUGGGCGUAAAGCGUGCGCAGGCGGUUAUGUAAGACAGUUGUGAAAUCCCCGGGCUCAACCUGGGAACUGCAUCUGUGACUGCAUAGCUAGAGUACGGUAGAGGGGGAUGGAAUUCCGCGUGUAGCAGUGAAAUGCGUAGAUAUGCGGAGGAACACCGAUGGCGAAGGCAAUCCCCUGGACCUGUACUGACGCUCAUGCACGAAAGCGUGGGGAGCAAACAGGAUUAGAUACCCGGGUAGUCCCAUG